AUAAAACUUUUGAUGGGAGCUAUGUUCUGGUAAGUUAAUAUAUAGCAUCUAAGAAUGCAAGGCUGUAAUAAAUAAUAUACAUAAUAAAAUCAAGGAUAAAAUUACCAAAAAUAGACCAAGUGGAUGAAACAAAAGCCGCAUUUGGCAUACCUUGUUUAACUCUUGGUGUAUCAAUUAGUGUAGAAUAUUUUGUAUUUUAUUAAAUAUGAAAGCUGUGUUUGAGUGAAAGUCAGUCAUAUUAUUCAUAAAACACCAAGUUCCCUUUCUUGUGCUCAGGUUGCUCAGUAUCUGAACUUGGAGCUACCCAUCUUGGAUCAGUUUCUGCUCAAACUCGGAGAGGAGGAAAACAGAGAGAUUCAAAGGGUCAUCAACAAGUACCAACACCAGCACAGACUGCUGUCCCAUAUGCUGAGCUUUAAGAUGUCCCCUCACAUAGAGACCAGUGUCUGACCACUUCCGAACUCAGUGAAAGGAAGAAAAAGUAUCUCUGAGGAACUAAAAACAUCUGAAAACAUUUUCUUUUUAGUGACAUUUGGACAAUGAAAAAGCAUUUGGCAAAAAA
Molecule: long non-coding RNA, 562 nt
Organism: Poecilia latipinna (sailfin molly)
Lineage: Eukaryota; Metazoa; Chordata; Actinopteri; Cyprinodontiformes; Poeciliidae
Exons: 2
Source: RefSeq, a predicted model, not a curated record